RNAcentral lists this microRNA precursor (103 nucleotides) under Marmota monax (woodchuck). The record is from RNAcentral. Lineage: Eukaryota; Metazoa; Chordata; Mammalia; Rodentia; Sciuridae.
AGUGGGAUAGCUGGUUCAAAUGGUUGUUCCAUUCCCAGUUUUCUAAAGAAUCUCCAUACUGCUUUCCAGAUAGUUUGCACCAAUUUGCAGUACCACCAGCAAU